UCCGAGAUAGCUUAUUUAAAGCUUUGAUUUUGUAAUUCAAGGAAAGGGUUAUCCUUCCCGGAA
RNAcentral lists this transfer RNA (63 nucleotides) under Siphonaria pectinata. Its description in RNAcentral is "tRNA-Thr". The record is from RNAcentral. Lineage: Eukaryota; Metazoa; Mollusca; Gastropoda; Siphonariida; Siphonariidae.